AGACCACGCCCACCGAUGCCGGCAGCAGCUGGUGCAGCGGAGCUCAGAUCCUCUCUGUGGGGUCUGCACCGGCAAGGGCAGCUGCUCCCUGCCUUUCCUCAGGAGUCAGUGGAGCUCCCCUUUACCUUCUGCUAUUGAGUGGAAGCAGCCUGAGGCCCUCAAAAGAUGCAGAUGCCGGCACCGUGUUUCUUGCACAGCCUGCAGAAUCAUAAGGCAAGUAAACCACUUUUCUUUAUAAAUUACCCAGCCUCAGGUAUUUCUUGAUAGCAAGAUAAAGAUGUAUGAUUUUUACCUUUUAAGUGGUUUAAGAAUUUUUCAUGUUUUUGGCUGGGCGCGGUGUCUCACGCCUGUAAUCCCAGCACUUUGGGAGGCCAAGGCAGGCGGAUCACGAGGUCAGGAGAUUGAGAACAUCCUGACUAACACGGUGAAACCCCGUCUCUACUAAAAAUACAAAAAAUUAGCCGGGUGCGGUGGCGGGUGCCUGUAGUCCUAGCUAUUCGGGAGGCUGAGGCAGGAGGAUGGCGUGAACCCAGGAGGUGGAGCUUGCAGUGAGCCGAGAUUGAGCCACUGCACUCCAGCCUGGGAAACAGAGAGAGACUCUGUCUCAAAAAAAAAAAAAAAAGAAGAAUUUUUAAUGUUUUUAAUAGCUUCUAUCAGAUAAUAGUUUCUUGAAAAUAACAAUUUAUGUGAUUAUCUAUGCACAUGUAUAUGUAUAUGUGCAAGUAUGCUUACGUAUACUGAAAAUAAAUUACAGUAAGAAUCCUAGGCACUGGAGAAGAAAGUAGGAUUAUUUUGUUAUUGUAAGGUACUCAAACUACCUGCAAAGGAUAUCGUAUAAUUUGAAAAGGGGCUUGGAUUAGUUUUAAAUGUAGUACUGCAAACUUCAGGACAGCUUAUUAUGCAAAAGCACCAAUCUCUUCCUAGCUGUUGACCAGAGGCUGCACUCAAUUCCUUGCCAAAUGGCCUUCUCUCCUAUGGCAAAAUGCUUCAUAAAAGCCACCAAGUGAGUGAGGUUCCUAGCAAGACAGAAAUCAUAACGCAGUAUAAUUACCUAAGUGAUAUCUCAUCAUUUUUGCAAAAUUAUAUUUUUUCCAAGUGAAUAAAAGUUCUUAUUCUUACUCAGCAAAAACACAACAGAAUUCAAGGUUAUGUAGAUGAAGAGAUGGGGAUCACUGGUAGCCAUCUGCCUGCCACAUCAAGUCCUCUUGAGUCUGCAACAGUUUCUCAGUCUUCAGUUGUGUAUCAUGACCUUGACCCUUUUGAAAAUAGUGGUCAGAAAUUUUGUAGAAUGUCCCACAAUAUGGAUUUGUGGGAUUUUAUUCAUGUUUAGACUAGGAGUAUUGUUUAAAUUGAACACUUGCUUUUAUCUAAAUUUGAAGACAAGAAAAAAUGAACAAUAUAUACAGUUUAGAAAUACAAACAUAGAAAGAAAGAUAGUAAAUAAAAUGUAGAGAAUGACAAAGAAAGAGUUCACCAUAAUAGUUCAUUGUAACAGCUAAGGAAGAUGAUGACAUUAGAGAGAUGCCUGCCCCCAGGGGGCAUCA
This 1544-nucleotide long non-coding RNA is filed under the name Homo sapiens (human). RNAcentral's name for it is "non-protein coding lnc-MKRN3-2:5". The record is from RNAcentral. Lineage: Eukaryota; Metazoa; Chordata; Mammalia; Primates; Hominidae.